GCAUUGCAUCUCCACCAUAAAAUACAAGUCAAGACAAGAUUUUAUGUCUGCUAAAUUUCUGCAUGUGCUAUCGCCUAAAACAGACAGAUAUCAAGAAUGUUAUUUUUCUUUUGGAUUUGCUUUUUAAAGGAAAGGUUCAUUGUCUCAAUUGUCUCAAUUGCAAAGAAUGUCUUAAGACACAAGUCUAAUAAUAUGCAGUUCCGCAUAUUUAAAGUGGAUGUAACAUGCUAUGUCAUGCAUUCUGACGUCUGUUGAAAGUGCUGGCUUCUCAUGCUUAACACGGUCAACUUGUUCAAAAACAAGUUGGACGUGUGACGUAGUAUUUCUGUGCUUGAUACACUCCCCCAGCACACCAACUUGUUUAGGAAAGUUUUUUGUUUUGUAUUGUAACAGGGAUCCUAUUCCUUUUAUAGGGCAAUUCUCCCAGAAAAGCACAGCAAGGCGAAAGAAAGAGCCCGCCCACGCGCCAACCGACGAACGAGACCCGAUUGCCAUCAAGAUUGUCUGCGCUGCGUUAAGAUUGUCUGCGCUGCGCUGCAGAUCGUUACUCUUGCGAGAGUGAAGUUUAGGUGUGUUUGUUUGUUCACAGCAUUUCAGUGAUGGAUGUUAUAUAAACGGUGGACGUAAAGCUGGAUUUGGAGAUCGUUUGAAACUGACAGAUGGCGUGGUCCCAGUCAUAAAAGAUGCCGGACAUGAACUGCACGCGGUAAGUCAAAAUGGUUGUUUCAAGAUCUUCCCCGAAGAUAAAUUCUAAAGGAAUGUUCCACUUCGAGUCUUUGAUCCAAGGGUCACCAAGAAGCUUCACCACAUUAGGAUGCCGAGCAUUACUGGGGUUAAACAUCCAGCGUUAUACUCUUGUCUGUUGAUGAGACCUACAUGAACUCUCUUCAAAGCAGCCCACGAGUCUCCAAACUUCUCCUUAUAUAUUUUCCCAAAGCAGCCCUUAGCCAGUGUUUGUGUACAGUACGCCAUCUAUGUUGAAAGAAAAUCCCAACCCAGAACAUAACAUACAGCCAUGUGGAUGACAAAAUGUGUUAUUAUGAUCUUUUAACUUUUUCAAAAUGACAAAGUUUGUGAGUUUUGUUGAAGUCAAACAGAUGUUCUGUUAUGAUAUGAAAGCAGCAGUAACACCUUUGGCAAAACCUUUGGUUAAGUCUCUACAUGCUGUUGGAAAAAAUGUUGUCAAACUGGAUCUGGAUUGCCAAAGAAACCACAAUUCUUUCUCACACUCAAUAAAAUCAAGUUGUCCGUAAA
This is a long non-coding RNA of Triplophysa rosa, 1254 nucleotides long. RefSeq lists it as uncharacterized. The transcript is spliced from 3 exons. Lineage: Eukaryota; Metazoa; Chordata; Actinopteri; Cypriniformes; Nemacheilidae. The record is from RefSeq and is a predicted model, not a curated record.